CGGCGAAACUGCGAAUGGCUCAUUAAAUCAGUUAUCGUUUAUUUGAUAGUACCUACUACAUGGAUAACCGUGGUAAUUCUAGAGCUAAUACAUGCUAAAAAUCCCGACUUCGGAAGGGAUGUAUUUAUUAGAUUAAAAACCAAUGCCCUUCGGGGCUCACUGGUGAUUCAUAAUAACUUCUCGAAUCGCAUGGCCUUGCGCUGGCGAUGGUUCAUUCAAAUUUCUGCCCUAUCAACUUUCGACGGCUGGGUCUUGGCCAGCCAUGGUGACAACGGGUAACGGAGGGUUAGGGCUCGACCCCGGAGAAGGAGCCUGAGAAACGGCUACUACAUCCAAGGAAGGCAGCAGGCGCGCAAAUUACCCAAUCCCGACACGGGGAGGUAGUGACAAUAAAUACUGAUACAGGGCUCUUUUGGGUCUUGUAAUUGGAAUGAGUACAAUUUAAAUCCCUUAACGAGGAACAAUUGGAGGGCAAGUCUGGUGCCAGCAGCCGCGGUAAUUCCAGCUCCAAUAGCGUAUAUUAAAGUUGUUGCAGUUAAAAAGCUCGUAGUUGAACCUUGGGCCUGGCUGGCCGGUCCGCCUCACCGCGUGCACUGGUCCGGCCGGGCCUUUCCCUCUGGGGAGCCGCAUGCCCUUCACUGGGUGUGUCGGGGAACCAGGACUUUUACUGUGAAAAAAUUAGAGUGUUCAAAGCAGGCCUAUGCUCGAAUACAUUAGCAUGGAAUAAUAGAAUAGGACGUGCGGUUCUAUUUUGUUGGUUUCUAGGACCGCCGUAAUGAUUAAUAGGGACAGUCGGGGGCAUCAGUAUUCAAUUGUCAGAGGUGAAAUUCUUGGAUUUAUUGAAGACUAACUACUGCG
RNAcentral lists this ribosomal RNA (858 nucleotides) under Phaeoacremonium croatiense. Its description in RNAcentral is "SSU rRNA". It matches the Rfam family "Eukaryotic small subunit ribosomal RNA", at positions 79 to 947 of the family's 1831-position model. The record is from RNAcentral. Lineage: Eukaryota; Fungi; Ascomycota; Sordariomycetes; Togniniales; Togniniaceae.